This 447-nucleotide ribosomal RNA is filed under the name uncultured bacterium. RNAcentral describes it as "partial 16S ribosomal RNA". It matches the Rfam family "Bacterial small subunit ribosomal RNA", at positions 29 to 523 of the family's 1533-position model. The record is from RNAcentral.
AGCGAACGCUGGCGGCAGGCCUAACACAUGCAAGUCGAACGAUCCUUCGGGAUAGUGGCGGACGGGUGAGUAACACGUGGGAACGUACCUUUUGGUUCGGAAUAACGCAGAGAAAUUUGCGCUAAUACCGAAUGUGCCCUUCGGGGGAAAGAUUUAUCGCCAUUAGAGCGGCCCGCGUUCGAUUAGCUAGUUGGUGGGGUAAAGGCCCACCAAGGGUACGAUCUAUAGCUGGUCUGAGAGGAUGAUCAGCCACACUGGGACUGAGACACGGCCCAGACGCCUACGGGAGGAAGCAGUGGUGAAUCUUGCGCAAGGGCCGAAAGCCUGACGCAGCCAUGCCGCGUGAAUGAUGAAGGUCUUAGGAUUGUAAAAUUCUUUCAGUAGGAACGAUAAUGACGGUACCUACAGAAGAAGCCCCGGCUAACUUCGUGCCAGCCGCCGCCGUAA